RNAcentral lists this transfer RNA (72 nucleotides) under Spirochaetales bacterium. Its description in RNAcentral is "tRNA-Glu". It matches the Rfam family "tRNA". Rfam says of the family: Transfer RNA (tRNA) molecules are approximately 80 nucleotides in length. Their secondary structure includes four short double-helical elements and three loops (D, anti-codon, and T loops). The record is from RNAcentral. Lineage: Bacteria; Pseudomonadati; Spirochaetota; Spirochaetia; Spirochaetales. RNAcentral also lists the same sequence under 2 other names.
GUCUCCGUCGUAUAGUGGUUAGUACACCGGGUUUUCAUCCCAGCAACAGGGGUUCAAUUCCCCUCGGAGAUG